Molecule: long non-coding RNA, 326 nt
Filed under: Homo sapiens (human)
Lineage: Eukaryota; Metazoa; Chordata; Mammalia; Primates; Hominidae
Description: HSALNT0132550
Source: RNAcentral
CACAGUGAUGCUCAAAAAAGAUCUGUUGGUAGGCAAUGGGAAGGUGCAUUCAUGUCAUCCUGCAGGCGGAAUUCUCCACGAGUUUUGAGCAGCCUCGGGUUUCCCACCACCUCCAAAUCAUGGAAGACACACGUUCAGGCAGAGCCCGCGGAGCCAUGGCCAGCCCUUCCAGCAGCUCCGAAGCCACUGGCAAGCCCCGAGGCAGGGAUGGCAGUCCCAGGAUGGGGGAGGAGGACGUCCCUCCCGAAGAGAAGAGGCUGGGGCUGUAGCUGGAGGGGGGAAGCGCACAGCCCGAGGACUGCGAGGACGGGGAGGACCCGCCGCUG